GGGAAGCCCAAGAAGGUGCAGCUAGAGCUGUACACACUGUGGAGAGCAAGAAGAGUCCUGCAGGGCUGGAGCUCAAGAAACAGGAAAGAGGUGUCAAGUGAGCCAUGAAGAUGACACCAGGAGCCUGAGAUUUGCAGUGUUUCCAACCCAGUGAAAAGCAGAAUGUGUAAGAAAUCUUGUUCCUGUGGGCUUUUCGGCAGAGUUUCUAGGCCAAAGAUGUGCAGCCUCUUCUGAAGCAUGUGACACUGACCACUUUCAGAGACAAGAUGGUGGACUAGGUGGAUCAAGAGUCUGAUCCAGUAUGGCAAUUCCUAUGUUCCUAAGACAUAGUCCUGCCCCAGAAUAGCUGACUGCAUGAGGCCCUGAUGUUCCGGCAAGCUGAUCCAUGGAGGUGAAUCCCUGCCCCUCUGCUGAGCCCCAUUAUAGUAAGCAAACAUUUUAAGUGAUCAAAUUUUAAUAGUGAAAAAUUAAUGUUCUUUCCUGGAAACCAUGGGAAACUGAAGUCAAGCUGAGAAAUACCACCAUUUACCCAGCAUUCUUGUGAGCCUGUGAAGAAAAUGACGCACUGUGGUUUCGCACAAUUUGUAAAAUCUACCCCUCUUUUUCAUGUGGGAACUUGGGGUCCAGUGCUGAUCUGACUGAAGUCAAUGGCAGUUUUGAGUGUGACUAGAGUCUUAACUUGAUCCAAGAAGACCAGCAACCUAAACCACUGAUUCAGAAAGGGGGGAAUUAUUGCCUGUUCUGUACUUUCUAAGGACUUGCAUGAAGAACUAUUGAAAAUAAAGGAGUUUGUCAAUGGAGGGCAGGCAU
Molecule: long non-coding RNA, 810 nt
Organism: Dermochelys coriacea (leatherback sea turtle)
Lineage: Eukaryota; Metazoa; Chordata; Testudines; Dermochelyidae
Exons: 3
Source: RefSeq, a predicted model, not a curated record